GACGAACGCUGGCGGCGGGCUUAACACAUGCAAGUCGAACGGAAAGGCCCUGCUUUUGUGCGGUGCUCGGGUGGCGAACGGGUGAGUAACAAGUGAGUAACCUGCCCUUUACUUUGGGAUAACUUCAGGAAACUGGGGCUAAUACCGGAUAGGAGCUCCCGUUGCAUGGUGGGGGUUGGAUAGUUUCGGCGGUUGGGGAUGGACGCGCGGCUUUUCAGCUUGUUGGUGGGGUAGUGGCUUACCAAGGCUUUGACGGGUCGCCGGCCUGAGAGGGUGACCGGCCCCAUUGGGACUGAGAUACGGCCCAGACUCCUACGGGAGGCAGCAGUGGGGAAUAUUGCACAAUGGGCGGAAGCCGGAUGCAGCAACGCCGCGUGCGGGAUGACGGCCUUCGGGUUGUAAACCGCUUUCGCCUGUGACGAAGCGUGAGUGACGGUAAUGGGUAAAGAAGCACCGGCUAACUACGUG
This 468-nucleotide ribosomal RNA is filed under the name uncultured bacterium. Its description in RNAcentral is "partial 16S ribosomal RNA". It matches the Rfam family "Bacterial small subunit ribosomal RNA", at positions 28 to 507 of the family's 1533-position model. The record is from RNAcentral.